CGUAGAUGGGUGAGAAUCCCAUCCGCCGGAGGGGCUAGGGUUCCUCGACGAUGUUCAUCAGUCGAGGGUUAGUCGGUCCUAAGGUUCCCCCUAACAGGAGGAAUCGAAAGGGAAGCAGGUUAAAAUUCCUGCACCAAUUCACAUUUUGUCCAUUUCCUGACACAUCGGGUCCAGUGGAACACUCUUGUCUGAGUGUUGCCUUCAGCAAUAAAUUUGUGGAGUACCGUAAUGGUGAGAAACAAACUAAGCUGUUGGGAGGCGAAGUAUUUCGCUUCUGCUCUAGCCUGGUGUCCGUGAAAAGGGAUCUGGAGUCGUGUGAGUUGUCCGUACCGAGAUCUGACACAGGUGCCCCUAGGUGAGUAGCCUAAGGCGUCGCGGCAGAAUCCGGGCGAGGGAAUUCGGCAAAUUAGCCCCGUACCUUUGGUAUAAGGGGUGCCAGCUCUGUAGAGAGCUGGUCGCAGUGACUAGGGAGCUCCGACUGUUUACUAAAAACACAGGUGGCUGCUAGUCCGUAAGGAUGAGUAUAGCCGCUGAAUCCUGCCCAGUGGCGGUAUCUGAAACCCGGUUACAACCGGACGAAGGACCGCUAAACGGCGGGGGUAACUAUGACCCUCUUAAGGUAGCGUAAUACCUUGUCGCUUAAUUGGCGACUUGCACGAACGGCCUAACGAGAGCUCUACUGUCCCCGCCCGGAGCCCGAUGAAAUUGACUUACUGGCGCACAGUCCAGUACGUCCCAGCCGCAAGCGAAGACCCCGUGGAGCUUUACUGCAACCUGCCGUUGUGGCACGAGUUGUUAUGUGUAGAGUAGCCGGGAGACAUUACACAGGUGCGAGCGCUAGCUCGUCGCCGAGUCACUGAUGAAACACCGUCCUUUUCGAUUCGUCCCACUCACCUCUUCGGAGGAACCCCGGUAGGCGGGCAGUUUGGGUGGGGCGCCACUCCCUCGAAAAUUUAACAAGGGAGCCCAAAGGUCAGCUUAGGUAGGUCAGGAAUCUACCGUUAAGUGCAAGGGCAAAAGCUGGCUUGACGUGGUUUGGCAACACAACAAACCACGAUGCGAAAGCAGGGCCUAGCGAACCAACCAGCGCCGUUAGUAGGUGCGGUUGAUAACAGAAAAGUUACCCCGGGGAUAACUGAGUUGUCUGGAGCAAGAGCCCACAUCGACCUCCAGGCUUGCUACUUCGAUGUCGUCUCUUCCUAUCCUGGGUGUGCAGAAGCACCCAAGGGUGGGGUUGUUCGCCCAUUAAAAGGGAUCGUGAGAUGGGUUUAGACCGUCGUGAGACAGGUUUGUUGCUAUGUGCUGGGACUGUCCAAUACCUGAGGGGAAGGAUCCUCUAGUACGAGAGGAACGAGGGUUCGCAGCCACUAGUUUACCAGUUGUCUGACAAGGCACCGCUGGGCAGCCACGCUGUAAGGGAUAAGAGCUGAAAGCAUCUAAGCUCGAAACCCGCCUCAAAACGAGGUAUUAUGACACUUAUAGAAGAUAAGUUAGAUAGGACCGGGGUGUAAGCACCGAGAGUAUCAGUGUUACUGGAAACCACUACUUCGGUAGAGGUGAAAGGUGACAC
This 1570-nucleotide ribosomal RNA is filed under the name marine metagenome. Its description in RNAcentral is "bacterial LSU rRNA". It matches the Rfam family "Archaeal large subunit ribosomal RNA", at positions 1400 to 2987 of the family's 2987-position model. The record is from RNAcentral.